UACAGAGGUCUCAAGCGUUGUUCGGAUUCAUUGGGCGUAAAGGGUGCGUAGGCGGCGCGGUAAGUCGGGUGUGAAAUCUCGGAGCUUAACUCCGAAACUGCAUUCGAUACUGCCGUGCUUGAGGACUGGAGAGGAGACUGGAAUUUACGGUGUAGCGGUGAAAUGCGUAGAUAUCGUAAGGAAGACCAGUGGCGAAGGCGGGUCUCUGGACAGUUCCUGACGCUCAUGCACGAAGGCCAGGGGAGCAAACGGG
RNAcentral lists this ribosomal RNA (253 nucleotides) under uncultured bacterium. RNAcentral's name for it is "partial 16S ribosomal RNA". It matches the Rfam family "Bacterial small subunit ribosomal RNA", at positions 524 to 776 of the family's 1533-position model. The record is from RNAcentral.